UUCCUGGUGGUCCAGUGGUUAGGGCUCUGCACUUCCACUGCAGGGGGCACAGGUUCAAUCCCUGGUUGUGAAA
RNAcentral lists this transfer RNA (73 nucleotides) under Bos taurus (domestic cattle). It matches the Rfam family "tRNA". Rfam says of the family: Transfer RNA (tRNA) molecules are approximately 80 nucleotides in length. Their secondary structure includes four short double-helical elements and three loops (D, anti-codon, and T loops). Lineage: Eukaryota; Metazoa; Chordata; Mammalia; Artiodactyla; Bovidae. The record is from Rfam by way of RNAcentral. RNAcentral also lists the same sequence under 5 other names.